AGUUUGCAGAACAUGUUCUUACAGACAAUGACUUUAUGUUUGACUCUUCAAAAAGGGCUAUAAGAGUAUCAAGACACAUCAUUGGACAAGUUCUUGUUGAUAACAGUGUUAAAUGAUUAUCACAACAACAGCAACCCAAGGCUAUGCCCCCAAGACCUUAACCCAGGAAACCGAAAUUAAAGGAAAAGGGCAUUGAAACAGCUUCAUCAUCAUGCACACAGGACAUCCAUUGGCUAUUUAUAUCGGUGUCAGCAAAGGUGAGUUUAUCUCAUGAUUAUAUAUGUAACUGUAUUCAG
Molecule: long non-coding RNA, 296 nt
Organism: Mytilus californianus (California mussel)
Lineage: Eukaryota; Metazoa; Mollusca; Bivalvia; Mytilida; Mytilidae
Exons: 3
Source: RefSeq, a predicted model, not a curated record